RNAcentral lists this ribosomal RNA (480 nucleotides) under uncultured bacterium. RNAcentral's name for it is "partial 16S ribosomal RNA". It matches the Rfam family "Bacterial small subunit ribosomal RNA", at positions 29 to 523 of the family's 1533-position model. The record is from RNAcentral.
AGUGAACGCUGGCGGUAGGCCUAACACAUGCAAGUCGAGCGGAAAGGCCCUUUCGGGGGUACUCGAGCGGCGAACGGGUGAGUAACACGUGAGUAAUCUGCCCCUGGCUUUGGGAUAGCCACCGGAAACGGUGAUUAAUACCGGAUACGACCACUUCUCGCAUGGGAUGGUGGUGGAAAGUUUUUCGGCCAGGGAUGUGCUCGCGGCCUAUCAGCUUGAUGGUGAGGUAAUGGCUCACCAUGGCUUCGACGGGUAGCCGGCCUGAGAGGGUGACCGGUCACACUGGGACUGAGACACGGCCCAGACUCCUACGGGAGGCAGCAGUGGGGAAUAUUGGACAAUGGGCGGAAGCCUGAUCCAGCAACGCCGCGUGAGGGAUGACGGCCUUCGGGUUGUAAACCUCAUUCAGCAGGGACGAAGCGCAAGUGACGGUACCUGCAGAAGAAGCACCGGCCAACUACGUGCCAGCCGCCGCCGUAA